RNAcentral lists this ribosomal RNA (440 nucleotides) under uncultured bacterium. RNAcentral describes it as "partial 16S ribosomal RNA". It matches the Rfam family "Bacterial small subunit ribosomal RNA", at positions 338 to 795 of the family's 1533-position model. The record is from RNAcentral.
CCUACGGGCGGCAGCAGUGGGGGAUAUUGCACAAUGGGGGAAACACUGAUGCAGCGACGCCGCGUGUGGGAAGACGGUCCUCUGUAUUGUAAACCACUGUCCCCAGGGACGAAGAUGACGGUACCUGGGGCGGAAGCUCCGGCUAACUACGUCGCAGCAGCCGCGGUCAUACGUAGGGAGCGAGGGUUGUCGGGAGGUACUGGGUGUAAAGGGAGCGUAGGCGGGGAUGCAAGGUGGGGGUCAAAACUACCGGCUCAACUGGUAGUCGCUGUCAAAACUGCAGCUCUUGAGUGAAGUAGAGGCAGGCGGAAUUCCUAGUGUAGCGGUGAAAUGCGUAGAUAUUAGGCGGAACACCAGUGGCGAAGGCGGCCUGCUGGGCUUUUACUGACGCUGAGGCUCGAAAGUGUGGGGAGCAAACAGGAUUAGAUACCCGGGUAGUC